Acanthosepion pharaonis is the source of this 113-nucleotide non-coding RNA. NCBI's taxonomy places the organism in Eukaryota, Metazoa, Mollusca, Cephalopoda, Sepiida, Sepiidae. The record is from the annotation of a GenBank genome assembly.
UUACGGCUAUAUGACGUUGAAACACCAGCUGUCGUACGAUCGCCGAAGUUAAGCAACGUCGAGCCCUGUCAGUGCCUAGAUGGGCGACCGCUUGGGAGUACCAGAAGCUGUAA